UGGGGAAUCUUCCGCAAUGGACGAAAGUCUGACGGAGCAACGCCGCGUGAGUGAAGAAGGCCUUCGGGUUGUAAAGCUCUGUCUUCAGGGAAGAAACAAAUGACGGUACCUGAGGAGGAAGCCACGGCUAACUACGUGCCAGCAGCCGCGGUAAUACGUAGGUGGCAAGCGUUGUCCGGAAUCAUUGGGCGUAAAGGGCGCGUAGGCGGUUAUUUAAGUCAGCUGUGAAAACUCCGGGCUCAACCCGGAGAUUGCAGAUGAUACUGGAUGGCUUGAGUGCAGGAGAGGACAGUGGAAUUCCUAGUGUAGCGGUGAAAUGCGUAGAUAUUAGGAGGAACACCAGUGGCGAAGGCGGCUGUCUGGACUGUAACUGACGCUGAGGCGCGAAAGCGUGGGGAGCAAACAGG
RNAcentral lists this ribosomal RNA (407 nucleotides) under uncultured bacterium. RNAcentral describes it as "bacterial SSU rRNA". It matches the Rfam family "Bacterial small subunit ribosomal RNA", at positions 355 to 776 of the family's 1533-position model. The record is from RNAcentral.